RNAcentral lists this ribosomal RNA (253 nucleotides) under uncultured bacterium. Its description in RNAcentral is "partial 16S ribosomal RNA". It matches the Rfam family "Bacterial small subunit ribosomal RNA", at positions 524 to 776 of the family's 1533-position model. The record is from RNAcentral.
UACGGGGGGGGCAAGCGUUGUUCGGAAUUACUGGGCGUAAAGGGCUCGUAGGCGGCCAACUAAGUCGGACGUGAAAUCCCCAGGCUCAACCUGGGAACUGCGUCCGAUACUGGAUGGCUUGAAUUCGGGAGAGGGAUGCAGAAUUCCAGGUGUAGCGGUGAAAUGCGUAGAUAUCUGGAGGAACACCGGUGGCGAAGGCGGCAUCCUGGACCAACACUGACGCUGAGGAGCGAAAGCCAGGGGAGCAAACGGG